UAAGUAUAAUGCCUUAUCGCUGUUUGUAUAACAAAUGGAGGAAAGUCCGGACACCGUAGUGCAAUAUAGUGGUUAAUGGCCACCAGUUGUAAAAUUAGGAAAAGUGCAACAGAAAGAAUGUACAGGUUAAGCUGUAGUGAAAUCAGGUAAACUCUAUAUGGUGCAAUGUCAUGUAAACCAACGCUUAAGGGUUGCACGCCCAAUGUUGGAGGGUAGACAGCUAAAGUGUUAUGGUAACAUAAUACUCAGAUAAAUGAUAAGGACUCUGCAAAGAGUACAGAAUCCGGCUUAUAGUUAAACUUAUUCU
This 307-nucleotide RNase P RNA is filed under the name Bacteroidetes bacterium MedPE-SWsnd-G2. RNAcentral describes it as "RNase P RNA component class A". It matches the Rfam family "Bacterial RNase P class A". From Rfam's summary of the family: Ribonuclease P (RNase P) is a ubiquitous endoribonuclease, found in archaea, bacteria and eukarya as well as chloroplasts and mitochondria. Lineage: Bacteria; Pseudomonadati; Bacteroidota. The record is from RNAcentral.